CAAGAAGCUUAAACUAAAUAGAAGUUUAUUUCUCUCUUAUAUAAAGUCCAAACUGGAAUGGUAGUUCUGUCUUGUCAAAUUGUAGGGGCCUGGUCUCUUUUUAUCUUGUUUUCAGGGUAUUGUGCUCAUCCACAGGGAUUAACUUGGCUCACCCUACAUCUGAAUUCUAGCCCCAACCUUUGGGAAUGAGGAAAGGGGAUGAGGAGGUCCCUUUUGCUCACAGUCCAUUGACCAGAACAUAAGCAGAAUGUUACAUUCAAUUGUCUGGAAGGAUAAAAAAUGUAAUCAUUGCUGGGUUCCAUAUACGUAGAAAAAAAAUCUAAUUAUAAUAAAUGGAGGGGACAGCAGCAAUCAGGAGACAAUUAGCUUCUGUAUACCUCUGUUUUAGAGAUGAGAAAGUUGAUCCUCAGAAAAUAAUUUGUUCAAGGCCUCACAUAACUAAGAUAUUUGAAAAACUGUCCCCAAAAGAGAACAUAGAGUUAUGCUGGGUACAUCAGAAGUCAGAACCAGGACUGGUAGGGAGAUGUUAAAGGAGGCAUGUUUCUAUACAGUUAAUAUUAGAACAAAUAAUUUUCAACAUUUAGAAGAGUACCAUAAUGAAUAGGCUACCUCAGUGUUAUUACCACUAUCAAUAUAUACCUGGAUAUUUAUAGUUAAAAACUAUAAUGCACAUCACCCAGUACCUAUAUAAAGUUACAUACAUUAGAUAAGGGUUCCAAAUCUUAACAGUAGAAACUUCAUCUUGUAUAUCUUUUACCUAGAAUGUGAUCUUGUUAUACAUCAGACAUCUAAUAAGUGUUGAUUAUGAUUAGGAAUUCAUUUAAUGAGAAUAGAAGCCACUGAGAUGGAAACUGACAAUCUUAUGCAAUAAGUUCUGAUAACAACUGUGUCCAUUUUUUUUUCUUUUUCUGGUUCUGGGAAAGAAACCAGGGCCUGAUAAUAUGCUAGGCAAAGUGCUUUGCCACUGAGCUACAUUCCCAGCCAACUGUGUCAAAUUUUAAUGAAGCACCAUUGACCUGGCUCCCCAUCUGCCCAGCCAUGUAGCCAGCCUACUAGUCCCUGUUGAGAAGCAGCAGCAGAGCAGUGGAGUAGCAGAGUGGCAGCCCAAGUAGUUUUCAGCAUAGGAGGCAAGCACAGCCUUUGGCCACAUGGACCAUCCUCCCCCAUAUAAAGCCCCAUGAGCCAAGGUGCUCUGAUCUGUCAUCCUUCUCCCACCAGGCCUGAUAUGGAGGACUGCUGCAGAAGCCAGCUCCACACAGUGCUGCAACCACCAUCCCAUGACCUCGACCUCCACUUCCUGACCUGUGAGGAGAAAAUGGAAGUGGGGCAGAUCUGAAUGGAAGUUGGAUUCAAGAAUUGACCAAUAGCAUUAGUAUGUUUCCAAAACCUAAUUAGCAUAAAUGUGGACCAAUAGCAUUGCUACUUUUUUCAAUCCCUAAUUAGUAUAAGUGGACCAAUAGCAGUGACCCAAGUUCUAUACAAACCCUUAAAUUA
Molecule: long non-coding RNA, 1494 nt
Filed under: Marmota monax (woodchuck)
Lineage: Eukaryota; Metazoa; Chordata; Mammalia; Rodentia; Sciuridae
Source: RNAcentral